UCUCCUUCACCUUCCUCUUCCCCAAUUCAAUCCCAGCACCUAAAUUUACAAAACUAUCCUCAAACCAUUUCUCAUCUUCUUCCAUUCUUUUCACAGCUUCCCCUAAACACCCUCCUCCUCCACCACUUCUAUCAUCAACUCCGAUUUUUAUAGCUUUAAGCCUAUGCUCAAGCACAUCAAAUCUCUGCUCCAUAUUAAACCUAACAUGAUGAACAUCAGCUAGUACAUGAGCUUGCAUUGUCACUUGCAUGAACCUCGCUACUCUUUUCUCUAACCUCUCCAUUUUCCUAGCCAACUGUAGGUUCCUGUACAUGUUCCAACGGCCGGAGUGGAGAACUUUUCCGGCGAGUUCGUAGCCAUCUCGGAGAAGUUUGGAGAAAUCGUCCAGCUGAGUUUGCCGUAUCUGUGGAAGUUCAACACCGGUUUGUUUGAUUUCUUGGAUGAUUGGAAGGAGACCAUUGAUAUUGUCAAUGAGAUUCUCUGCGCUUGAACGGCAUAAAGUGGAUUUUUUAACUAUCAACAGCAGGUAUUUUAUGAGUUCGGUGGUAAUCUCGCCGGCGAAAAAGUCCGUCACCGCCAUGUUUG
RNAcentral lists this unclassified non-coding RNA (585 nucleotides) under Hevea brasiliensis (rubber tree). Lineage: Eukaryota; Viridiplantae; Streptophyta; Magnoliopsida; Malpighiales; Euphorbiaceae. The record is from RNAcentral.